This 1630-nucleotide long non-coding RNA is filed under the name Danio rerio (zebrafish). RNAcentral's name for it is "lncRNA (ENSDARG00000117254.1)". Lineage: Eukaryota; Metazoa; Chordata; Actinopteri; Cypriniformes; Danionidae. The record is from RNAcentral.
GCAGACAAAAUAUUCACCAUGGACAACAGCAUCACUCAAAAAUUUAAAUAGCUAAGGUUACUUACCUUCAUGCCACUGCAACACACAUCUAGAAGAUCUCUCUAAGGUAGUAUUUCAAAUAGUUGAGAUAUUACUAGAGAUAGUCCAAUUCUGUGAAGCCAUAUGAUACUCUUGCGCACUGAAUGUGUCAGCCGAGCCGUUCUCUUUCCUGACACUUUUCUCCUCAUUAGCAGUCAAGUUACCUUUAAAAAUAAAAAAAAAAAUGGCGCCGUCUGGACGCGACGCUGACGUCGAGUGUAGCAAAUCAGGUGAUUAAACGCGGCAUGGCGUUUUGUUCAAAACAUAUCAUCGACGAAAAUGUUUGACUGAAAUAACAGAUAGGAGCAUAGGUUCCUAAAACGCAAGCAGUUAUGCCACAAGACGGCUUAUAUUUUAGCUGUAUAUAAAGUUGUGUUUGUUUUUUUUUUUUUUUUUUUUUUUUGAGUAAUUCACUGAAUUGAACGGAUAAGGAACACCACGAUGACGAAACAUAAGGCACAUUAGGAUGGAUGUGUUUGCGCUAAUGGCCCGCUCUACACUUCGCCCCCACAAUGUGGAGAAAUGCAUAAAAGCUACACCAAUUCAACUUACAUAUUGAUGCCAACUGUGGGCCACAUGCUUUCCUUUUCAUCCACCCCCUUCCAUCAACUCUCUCUUCAAUGAUGAGUGUCAUCCAGUUACACUGGCAAUUAGGAAAGAAAAAAAAAAGGUCACAAGUGUGAUCAAAAGCUCCUGCAAUGGUAUUAAAAGACUCUGGGGAGCCAUCGGAGGAGAGACCGCACUUCCAUUUGACAUUCCUCACAAGGGGAUUACAUCUGAGUGUCACCGCCAGAGGAGAGGAAAACAUAAGAUGAUGGUAAGUCUAAAUGCUUUAAGCUGAGGGAAGGGAACAAUUGCCAGACAGAGACCAAAUAAAAAGCUCAUUUUCUCCUCACUGUGGUGUGUACACAUAACGUCAGCACGGACAAGGAAAUAAUGGGGCCGAUGCUCUGAAUUGCAUUUGAAGCAUCUCCAAUAUCGCUUUGGGGUAUCGCAAUCAUAGAGAGGAGAAGAAGAAAAAGAUUCUUUGACAGGCUGUAAAAGUAAGAGAAGCAACAAGAAAAGAGAAAACGAACAAGCAGACUUGAGCUGGCAUGAAAAUAAGGCAAAAUAAAUCGCGCUGAUAUAGCAUAUGACACCUUCAGCAGACACCUGCCAUGCAUGUUUAAAUAAUUUACCAAAUGUCAUCACGCAGGCUUUAAAACACAGAGUGCUCCUGUAAUAGGAACUCCCCCCUCUGGUGACAGGUGCCUCUGUGAACAAGACACGCGCAUCUUUCUGUGUAUAUCCAAGCAGGCAUCUUUAAUGAAUAAUAUAUUGCCACAUCACAGGCUGUAAGAGUGACUGAAGAGUUUCAAGUAUUAUCCGCAUUUCUAUAAUGCUUGAUUCGCAAUGGUCAAUCAUGACAUCCAGUGGUCAGACCUUUCAUUGGGAAGACUGUCAAAUAAAAGUACUCAUGAAGAGAUUUUAAAUAUUCAUUUAGUUUUUGAAGCAGCUUCAUGUGAAAGGUAAUGUUCGUAAGAUCUUUUUCUGCAGAUUAGAGCUGGACAAC